GGGGACGUGGUGUAAUGGGAGCACAGGCGCCUGUCCAGCGCUGGGAGCGGGUUCGAAUCCCGUCGUCUCCACCA
This 74-nucleotide transfer RNA is filed under the name Chloroflexota bacterium. RNAcentral's name for it is "Chloroflexi bacterium tRNA-Asp". It matches the Rfam family "tRNA". From Rfam's summary of the family: Transfer RNA (tRNA) molecules are approximately 80 nucleotides in length. Lineage: Bacteria; Bacillati; Chloroflexota. The record is from RNAcentral.